Molecule: unclassified non-coding RNA, 229 nt
Filed under: plant metagenome
Description: partial contains small subunit ribosomal RNA, internal transcribed spacer 1, and 5.8S ribosomal RNA
Source: RNAcentral
UCUCCGUAGGUGAACCUGCGGAGGGAUCAUUACAGAGUUCAUGCCCUACCGGGUAGAUCUCCCACCCUAUGUUAUUAUUACUUUGUUGCUUUGGCGGGCCGUUAGGCUCCGGCCCGACUACCGGUCCCGGCUGGUAAGCGCCCGCCAGAGGACCCAAAACCCUGAAUAUUAGUGUCGUCUGAGUACUAUAUAAUAGUUAAAACUUUCAACAACGGAUCCCUUGGUUCUG